RNAcentral lists this transfer RNA (539 nucleotides) under uncultured Prochlorococcus sp. RNAcentral describes it as "partial 16S-23S ribosomal RNA intergenic spacer". The stretch from base 211 to 283 matches the Rfam family "tRNA". The record is from RNAcentral. Lineage: Bacteria; Bacillati; Cyanobacteriota; Cyanophyceae; Synechococcales; Prochlorococcaceae.
CAGGGAGACAACAAAAUGUUUAAUAUUAUUAUUUUGUCACCUUAGGUCGAUCGGUAUCUCACGUUCUUAACUUAUUAAGAAUUUCAUUUCCUAAGUUUUUCUAGGUCACACCCAAAAUUUUUCCUGGGCCAUUAGCUCAGGUGGUUAGAGCGCACCCCUGAUAAGGGUGAGGUCCCUGGUUCAAGUCCAGGAUGGCCCAUACUCUAUGUUGGGGGUAUAGCUCAGUUGGUAGAGCGCCUGCUUUGCAAGCAGGAUGUCAGCGGUUCGAGUCCGCUUACCUCCACUGAUUACCACCUCCUCCAUAAUCUGUAGAAAGGAAAUUUUUUGAGUUGUGAUCAAAGUCUGAACGAAUCUAGCUUCCUAAUGAAAUCAUUAAGAUGCUGGACUCAUUGAAUUAAUUUCAUUGUUUUCAGAGAACCUUGACAACUGCAUAGAUUAUUUUUAAAGACAAUAAGCAUCUUUAAUGAUGCAGAUUUAUUAUUUGUGCGAAUGCAUUAAUAACAAUUCUAUUAAGCUGAUGCUUCAAUUUUGAAGUUAUU